This 204-nucleotide ribosomal RNA is filed under the name Staphylococcus epidermidis. RNAcentral describes it as "partial 16S ribosomal RNA". It matches the Rfam family "Bacterial small subunit ribosomal RNA", at positions 68 to 265 of the family's 1533-position model. The record is from RNAcentral. Lineage: Bacteria; Bacillati; Bacillota; Bacilli; Caryophanales; Staphylococcaceae.
GACGAAGGAGCUUGCUCCUCUGACGUUAGCGGCGGACGGGUGAGUAACACGUGGAUAACCUACCUAUAAGACUGGGAUAACUUCGGGAAACCGGAGCUAAUACCGGAUAAUAUAUUGAACCGCAUGGUUCAAUAGUGAAAGACGGUUUUGCUGUCACUUAUAGAUGGAUCCGCGCCGCAUUAGCUAGUUGGUAAGGUAACGGCU